UUUGUCAGACUUCAUUAAAAACGCACCCAAAAAUCCUCUGAACGGACGUCAGGUGUUAAGCGGAGGGGAUCCGGAAAUCAGAUAGUGGAAUGCAGGUGUCGGCAGAUGAGUGGACGCUCGUUUGACGUUGCACCGUAGAAGCACUUUCGGUGUCAAGAGCUUCAGUUUGAACCGAUCGGUUUCGGGUUCUGAACUGUUUGAAGAAUUGUUGAGCGUUGAGGGUAGAAGGAAUUGUAGUCAGGCGAGCCGUAUUCUGUCUCUAGGAACGUUCGUUCACGCUCAGAGAAGGAGACGAGCUGCUGGAAGAGGCGCUGGAGGAAGAAAGCUUAGUAGAGGUAGAAGUUAAGACUGAACAGUAUGACGUUCGGUCAGUACUUUAGUUUGAUUGUAAGGUAGUCGUUCGAUCACCUUUCCCCUUUGUUUUGGUAUGACCGUUCGGUCAGACUUGCUUAUACUGUACCGUUUAAAUUUGUAACUCUUUCUGUAAGGCCGUUCGGCCAUAACCGUACGCUCUCUUUUAGUGUAAGACUGAUCUAAAUCAUUAUUAAAUGUGAUUAUUCUACUA
Vigna angularis (adzuki bean) is the source of this 565-nucleotide long non-coding RNA. RefSeq lists it as uncharacterized. NCBI's taxonomy places the organism in Eukaryota, Viridiplantae, Streptophyta, Magnoliopsida, Fabales, Fabaceae. The transcript is spliced from 4 exons. The record is from RefSeq and is a predicted model, not a curated record.